Molecule: ribosomal RNA, 492 nt
Filed under: uncultured bacterium
Lineage: Bacteria
Description: partial 16S ribosomal RNA
Rfam family: Bacterial small subunit ribosomal RNA
Source: RNAcentral
AGUGAACGCUGGCGGUAGGCCUAACACAUGCAAGUCGAACGGCAGCACAGUAAGAGCUUGCCCUUACGGGUGGCGAGUGGCGGACGGGUGAGGAAUACAUCGGAAUCUACUUUUUCGUGGGGGACAACGGAGGGAAACUUACGCUAAUACCUCAUACGACCUACGGGUGAAAGCAGUGGAUCUUCGGACCUUGCCCGAUUCAAUGAGCCGAUGUCGGAUUAGCUAGUUGGCUGGGUAAAGGCCCACCAAGGCGACGAUCCGUAGCUGGUCUGAGAGGAUGAUCAGCCACACUGGAACUGAGACACGGUCCAGACUCCUACGGGAGGCAGCAGUGGGGAAUAUUGGACAAUGGGCGCAAGCCUGAUCCAGCCAUGCCGCGUGGGUGAAGAAGGCCUUCGGGUUGUAAAGCCCUUUUGUUGGGAAAGAAAAGCAGCAGGUUAAUACCCCGCUGUUCUGACGGUACCCAAAGAAUAAGCACCGGCUAACUUCGUG